GAUGAACGCUAGCGGCAGGCUUAACACAUGCAAGUCGAGGGGUAACAGGGCUUCGGCCGCUGACGACCGGCAAACGGGUGCGGAACACGUACGCAACAUACCUUUAUCUGGGGCAUAGCCCGAAGAAAUUCGGAUUAACACCCCAUAAGAUUAUAGAGUGGCAUCACUUAGUAAUUAAAAAUUUAAUUGAUAGAGAUUGGCGUGCGUCCUAUUAGCUAGUUGGCGGGGUAAAGGACCCACCAAGGCGACGAUAGGUAGCUGAUGUGAGAGCAUGAUCAGCCACACGGGCACUGAGACACGGGCCCGACUCCUACGGGAGGGCAGCAGUGAGGAAUAUUGGUCAAUGGACGCAAGUCUGAACCAAGCCAUGCCGCGUGAAGGAUGAAGGCGUUCUGCGUUG
This 400-nucleotide ribosomal RNA is filed under the name uncultured bacterium. Its description in RNAcentral is "bacterial SSU rRNA". It matches the Rfam family "Bacterial small subunit ribosomal RNA", at positions 28 to 425 of the family's 1533-position model. The record is from RNAcentral.